Nematostella vectensis (starlet sea anemone) is the source of this 1470-nucleotide long non-coding RNA. RefSeq lists it as uncharacterized. Lineage: Eukaryota; Metazoa; Cnidaria; Anthozoa; Actiniaria; Edwardsiidae. The transcript has 13 exons. The record is from RefSeq and is a predicted model, not a curated record.
CAAGGCCAAUCUUAUGUACCCCAACUUGAGAGAGGAAUUGUGUAACACAUCACUUGCAACCAUUUUCUUGCUCCCGUUGACUUCCUGGGGCACGAACGUACCAACAAGACGGGUUUUUAUCAGUGAAAUUGAUUCAAGACCAUAAAGUAUGUGUCAUUUUCCCACUUUGGCGUUAAGAAGAAGAAGGCACACAAGGAUAUUUGGUACCAUGAUUGGUACCAAAGUCAAUUCUUCUAUUGAUAAUCACAGGCACUUUAUGCCUGCACACUGAGGCACGAAGCAAGACCAGACCUUGCAAAGCCAGCAAGUACACUGUACAUGCACAAUCUGACUGGGGUGAUGGAGACCGCUAUACGGGCUACUAACGCCCAGUAUGAAAAUCCCGAGAUCCUCAAGCGAUUAGAUUGCAGGCUACUAGAGGCCGUUCAGUUACAUCAUCGCAUGACUUUAGCAGAACUAAAGAGAUUCUUUGGCGUCGAAUCGCAUGCUGAAGCUCCUUCUUACUAUAUCGUUCAUCCAUUCCAUUCCGAUGAAUACGGUAACUUCGUUGGUUACAACCUCCGUCCUCAAGAGGAAUCAAGGCAACGGAGGAGUACUGGGCCCGAAGAACCCGACUUUCAUUACUUUAAGUUUCGAGCAAUGGGGAAACACCUCCACCUGAAAGUCGCCAAGAGUGACGGCCUCUUAUCCUAGCGAGCACGUGUACACACCGUGCAUAAGGAUGGAAGCGUGACCAGCAGCACUGUACCGAGAGAGGCUGAGUACUACAGUGGUCACGUGACCUCGCACCCAGACUCCAUGGUGGCGCUUAGAAGCGAUAGUGGACUGGCCGGAUUGAUUAGCACAUCAGAAGACUCAUUAUUCAUCCAACCCCUGCCAAGUCGUCUCGCAAGGCACUAUGGGAUAGAAGGCGGGGCUCAGCCUCACGUGAUCCACUGGCGAGCUAUUGAUGACGUCAUGUACGAGCAGGGCAGCAAAGGGACAGUUUCACCCGUGGCGAGGCAAUCAACAAACCCCUUGUCUAAGAGGAGUGGCGAGAAAUACCUGGAGACAAACAUGAUUGCAGACAAUUUCAUCACAAGCAAAUAUGGAAACGAGACGGCGAACAACUUGCUAAUGCUGGCUUGUUACGCGUCAAGUUUUUCUGGGAGGCAGCGCGGGAGAUAUCAAGAUCCACUUAGUGGUGGUCGGGAUUACACUUAACAUCGGAGGGUUUGGAUACGGUAGUUCAGCGACGUCCGGGGAAAGACUGUCUGCGUUAGGGAAAUGGGCGUCAACCAACUUACCCACAGAUGAUAGUAACGCCGCCCAUCCCGACGUAAUCGUGCUGAUUUCGAGUAUUAGUGGAGGACUUGCCGGGGCGGGGUCGAUAUGCAGCGGACUCGGUAAAACAGUAUCAGGAGAUAUAGGGCUACAGACCGCCGUUAUUAUUGCACACGAGGUUGCACAUGCCCUGGGCGUUGGCCAUGA